This 261-nucleotide unclassified non-coding RNA is filed under the name Hevea brasiliensis (rubber tree). Lineage: Eukaryota; Viridiplantae; Streptophyta; Magnoliopsida; Malpighiales; Euphorbiaceae. The record is from RNAcentral.
UGAUUACUACUCCCUAGAACAGGUAUUUUCCUGUUACGUUUUGCAGCUUAUGUGAUUGUGCAGUAUCUUCCAGGAACAAAGACUGGAAAUGCCAUUAAAACCUUAUUAGAAUGCAGUGUAAUUUAGAAAUGGCUUUGUAAAUAAGCUUCUUUGUCGUAAUUGCUAGUGAACAUAUCUAGUCAUCGCUUGCAAUCCCCUGUAAAAAUGGGGAAAGAAAUUAAUAAACACCCUUUGCAUAGGUGACACAAGCUCUUGCACAAG